This 324-nucleotide unclassified non-coding RNA is filed under the name plant metagenome. RNAcentral's name for it is "partial contains 5.8S ribosomal RNA, internal transcribed spacer 2, and large subunit ribosomal RNA". The stretch from base 1 to 105 matches the Rfam family "5.8S ribosomal RNA", at positions 50 to 154 of the family's 154-position model. The record is from RNAcentral.
GAAAUGCGAUAACUAAUGUGAAUUGCAGAAUUCAGUGAAUCAUCGAGUCUUUGAACGCACAUUGCGCCCCCUGGUAUUCCGGGGGGCAUGCCUGUCCGAGCGUCAUUGCUGCCCUCAAGCCCGGCUUGUGUGUUGGGCCCUCGUCCCCCGGCUCCCGGGGGACGGGCCCGAAAGGCAGCGGCGGCACCGCGUCCGGUCCUCGAGCGUAUGGGGCUUCGUCUUCCGCUCCGUAGGCCCGGCCGGCGCCCGCCGACGCAUUUAUUUGCAACUUGUUUUUUUCCAGGUUGACCUCGGAUCAGGUAGGGAUACCCGCUGAACUUAAGC